RNAcentral lists this ribosomal RNA (624 nucleotides) under uncultured archaeon. Its description in RNAcentral is "bacterial SSU rRNA". It matches the Rfam family "Archaeal small subunit ribosomal RNA", at positions 339 to 999 of the family's 1478-position model. The record is from RNAcentral.
GCGCGAAAACUUCACACUGCAGGAAACUGUGAUGAGGGAACUCCAAGUGGAUGGUAUUGGAAUAAGGGCUGGGAAAGACCGGUGCCAGCCGCCGCGGUAAUACCGGCAGCUCGAGUGGUCGUCGCUUUUAUUGGGCCUAAAACGUCCGUAGCCGGUUUGGUAAAUCUGUGGGUAAGUCAACUAGCUUAACUAGUUGAAUUCUGCAGAGACUGCCAGACUAGGAACCGGGAGAGGUGUGGGGUACUCAAGGGGUAGGGGUAAAAUCCUGUCAUCCUUUGAGGACCACCAGUUGCGAAGGCGCCACACUGGAACGGAUUCGACGGUCAGGGACGAAGCCUAGGGGCACGAACCGGAUUAGAUACCCGGGUAGUCCUAGGUGUAAACGCUGUGAACUUGGUGUCGGGAGUCCGCAAUGGGCCCCCGGUGCCGGAGUGAAGAUGUUAAGUUCACUGCCUGGGGAGUACGGUCGCAAGGCUGAAACUUAAAGGAAUUGGCGGGGGAGCACGCAACGCGAGGAGCGUGCGGUUUAAUUGGAUUCAACGCCGGAAAACUCACCAUGGCCGACUGUUAGAUGAAGAUCAGCGUAAUGAGCUUAUCGGAUUUUCAGAGAAGAAGUGCAUGGCC